UACGGGAGGCAGCAGGUGGGGAAUAUUGCACAAUGGGCGAAAGCCUGAUGCAGCUAUGCCGCGUGUAUGAAGAAGGCCUUAGGGUUGUAAAGUACUUUCAUCGGGGAGGAAAAACAAAACUAAUAAUUUUAUUUCUUGACGUUACCCGAAAAAGAAGCACCGGCUAACUCCGUGCCAGCAGCCGCGGUAAUACGGAGGGUGCUAGCGUUAAUCAGAAUUACUGGGCGUAAAGAGCACGUAGGUGGUUUUUUUAAGUCAGAUGUGAAAUCCCUGGGCUUAACCUAGGAACUGCAUUUUGAAACUGAAAUACUAGAGUAUCGUAGAGGGAGGUAGAAUUCUAGGUGUAGCGGUGAAAUGCGUAGAUAUCUGGAGGAAUACCUGUGGCGAAAGCGGCCUCCUAAACGAAUACUGACACUGAGGUGCGAAAGCUGGGGAGCAAACAGGGAUUAGAUACC
Molecule: ribosomal RNA, 455 nt
Filed under: uncultured bacterium
Lineage: Bacteria
Description: bacterial SSU rRNA
Rfam family: Bacterial small subunit ribosomal RNA
Source: RNAcentral